CGUUAGCGGCGGACGGGUGAGUAACACGUGGGUAACCUACCUAUAAGACUGGGAUAACUUCGGGAAACCGGAGCUAAUACCGGAUAAUAUUUCGAAUCGCAUGGUUCGAUAGUGAAAGAUGGUUUUGCUAUCACUUAUAGAUGGACCCGCGCCGUAUUAGCUAGUUGGUAAGGUAACGGCUUACCAAGGCGACGAUACGUAGCCGACCUGAGAGGGUGAUCGGCCACACUGGAACUGAGACACGGUCCAGACUCCUACGGGAGGCAGCAGUG
RNAcentral lists this ribosomal RNA (272 nucleotides) under uncultured Staphylococcus sp. RNAcentral's name for it is "partial 16S ribosomal RNA". It matches the Rfam family "Bacterial small subunit ribosomal RNA", at positions 90 to 356 of the family's 1533-position model. The record is from RNAcentral. Lineage: Bacteria; Bacillati; Bacillota; Bacilli; Caryophanales; Staphylococcaceae.